AUGCACGCUGGCGGCGUGCCUCAUCCAUGCCAGUCGCGCGAACAGACGAGGAGCUUGCUCCUCUGACGUUAGCGGCGGACGGGUGAGUAACACGUGGAUAACCUACCUAUAAGACUGGGAUAACUUCGGGAAACCGGAGCUAAUACCGGAUAAUAUAUUGAACCGCAUGGUUCAAUAGUGAAAGACGGUUUUGCUGUCACUUAUAGAUGGAUCCGCGCCGCAUUAGCUAGUUGGUAAGGUAACGGCUUACCAAGGCGACGAUGCGUAGCCGACCUGAGAGGGUGAUCGGCCACACUGGAACUGAGACACGGUCCAGACUCCUACGGGAGGCAGCAGUAGGGAAUCUUCCGCAAUGGGCGAAAGCCUGACGGAGCAACGCCGCGUGAGUGAUGAAGGUCUUCGGAUCGUAAAACUCUGUUAUUAGGGAAGAACAAAUGUGUAAGUAACUAUGCACGUCUUGACGGUACCUAAUCAGAAAGCCACGGCUAACUACGUGC
Molecule: ribosomal RNA, 497 nt
Filed under: uncultured bacterium
Lineage: Bacteria
Description: partial 16S ribosomal RNA
Rfam family: Bacterial small subunit ribosomal RNA
Source: RNAcentral